UCCCGGUUCACUUCGGAGCGCUAGUGAAGGAGAUGGGGAGCGAGAUGGAGGCUUGGCUCCGUGCGGGCCUUCUUAGGCGUCUUGCUUUCUCUGUAAUCCCGAGGGAGUGGAGAGAUAGCGGCUAAUUUCCUUUUGUUUUCCGCCCUUUAAGGGCUUGUAGCUGCAUCGCAGCAAAACCUCUUCUUUAAACCGACGAUAUACCUUGCUUGGGUAUAUUCUAGAAAAAAACAUUUCAAAACGUAUCUAAUGAUGCUAGUUUGGUGCAACAAGUAUUGCUACGUUUUUUAAUAAAGUCGGUCAUUUUUGAGUUAGGACAAACCUAAAAGUUCACUUAUUUGCGGACGGAGUGAGUAUGUGGUUCCAGAAAUUGAUGCUGGAGAUUUGUUUAAGUCUAUUUUAGAAAUUAAGAGUACAUAAUAUAAAGCUCUUGUUGUAGGUGAAGGAAUGCAAUUUUUCUGUGAAACUCAGAACAAAAGGCAAGGAAUUUUUUUUUCUUUUUUCUCACGAACUCCAAAUGACAUCCCUAAAUAGGAAAAUGCGAUUUAUAUGAACACUCUGAUUUAUAUAUAUAUAUAUAUAUUCAAAAUAAGUAGGAUCAUAAAUCCAGUUUUCUGAGAAACUCCUUACGAAAUCAUUUAAUAGCC
This 644-nucleotide long non-coding RNA is filed under the name Brachypodium distachyon (stiff brome). RNAcentral describes it as "long non-coding RNA (BDIS_LNC002951)". Lineage: Eukaryota; Viridiplantae; Streptophyta; Magnoliopsida; Poales; Poaceae. The record is from RNAcentral.